Molecule: long non-coding RNA, 436 nt
Organism: Styela clava
Lineage: Eukaryota; Metazoa; Chordata; Ascidiacea; Stolidobranchia; Styelidae
Source: RefSeq, a predicted model, not a curated record
GCCUGUAUUCCAAAUUGUUUACAUACGUUUCCUUCAAUAAAUAUGUGAUCGCACGAACAGGAAGAUAAAUAAAUAACAUGCAUGCACGUCUGGAAGCUUUUAUUUAAUCAUUCAUUUCCUGAUCAGAACAUAAUGAAGAAAUUUGAACGCCAAAACUAUAUAAAAAGAUGGUUGCUGGUGGUAUAUAUCAUAUUGCUUUUUCAAAUUAUUCUACAAAGAUAGAAAGUUCAUUGCAAUUGCGACAAAAAAUGGGACCUAUCUUAAGAAAAAUUGUCGUUUUCGUCGUGCUGGUACUGUGGAUUGCAUCUAUUGAAGGCCGAAGGAAAAGAUUUCAAAUGCUUUCAAGCCGCAGACGUCACUAUGGAUGAACUCAUCAAGAAUACUAUUUUUUAAUAAAUACAGCUUUCAACGUAAGACAAUAAAAUUUGCAAAGUUA